Molecule: ribosomal RNA, 440 nt
Filed under: uncultured bacterium
Lineage: Bacteria
Description: partial 16S ribosomal RNA
Rfam family: Bacterial small subunit ribosomal RNA
Source: RNAcentral
CCUACGGGCGGCAGCAGUGGGGAAUAUUGCACAAUGGGGGAAACCCUGAUGCAGCGACGCCGCGUGAGUGAAGAAGUAUUUCGGUACGUAAAGCUCUAUCAGCAGGGAAGAAAAUGACGGUACCUGACUAAGAAGCCCCGGCUAACUACGUGCCAGCAGCCGCGGUAAUACGUAGGGGGCAAGCUUUAUCCGGAUUUACUGGGUGGAAAGGGAGCGUAGACGGCAGCGCAAGUCUGGAGUGAACUACCAUGGCUUAACCAUUGAACUGGUUUGGAAACUGUGCAGCUAGAGGGCAGGAGGGGGAAGAGGAAUUACGAGUGUAGCGGUGAAAUGCGUAGAUAUUAGGAGGAACACCAGUGGCGAAGGCGGCUUACUGGACUGUAACUGACGUUGAGGCUCGAAAGCGGGGGGAGCAAACAGGAUUAGAUACCCUAGUAGUC